UGUUGUUAGGAUGACAAUAUUUCCCAAUUUGAACAGCAAAUUCAGAGCAAAAUCCAUGGAAAUCUGAGUUGCCAUUAUGCAGAAACUGACUAUCUGAACCUAAAAUUACAUCAAGAUAUGCAAACAGGACCAGAAGAACCAGAACGACUUUUAAGAAGAACAAAAAUGGAGGACUCUACACUUUAAAAACAACCUUCAAGACCAGGGGCUGAGCCCAGCAUACUCAAAGGCUGUGGAUUCAUCAUCAAGAACAAGAAACGGAUGGAGGACCACACAGAGAUACACAAUACCUAAAUGUCCCCACCAUGGUAUGACACAGCCAAGAAAUUUUUCCUAGAAGUUGUGUUAUGCUUUUUUGAUAGCCAGCCUCUGAAACGGUGAAAUAAUUAAAUGUUUUCUCUUUAU
Molecule: long non-coding RNA, 405 nt
Filed under: Rattus norvegicus (Norway rat)
Lineage: Eukaryota; Metazoa; Chordata; Mammalia; Rodentia; Muridae
Description: long non-coding RNA NONRATT012967
Source: RNAcentral